CCUACGGGGGGCAGCAGUAGGGAAUCUUCGGCAAUGGGGGGAACCCUGACCGAGCAACGCCGCGUGAGUGAAGAAGGUUUUCGGAUCGUAAAGCUCUGUUGUAAGAGAAGAACGAGUGUGAGAGUGGAAAGUUCACACUGUGACGGUAUCUUACCAGAAAGGGACGGCUAACUACGUGCCAGCAGCCGCGGUAAUACGUAGGUCCCGAGCGUUGUCCGGAUUUAUUGGGCGUAAAGCGAGCGCAGGCGGUUAGAUAAGUCUGAAGUUAAAGGCUGUGGCUUAACCAUAGUACGCUUUGGAAACUGUUUAACUUGAGUGCAAGAGGGGAGAGUGGAAUUCCAUGUGUAGCGGUGAAAUGCGUAGAUAUAUGGAGGAACACCGGUGGCGAAAGCGGCUCUCUGGCUUGUAACUGACGCUGAGGCUCGAAAGCGUGGGGAGCAAACAGGAUUAGAUACCCGGGUAGUC
RNAcentral lists this ribosomal RNA (465 nucleotides) under uncultured Streptococcus sp. RNAcentral describes it as "bacterial SSU rRNA". It matches the Rfam family "Bacterial small subunit ribosomal RNA", at positions 338 to 795 of the family's 1533-position model. The record is from RNAcentral. Lineage: Bacteria; Bacillati; Bacillota; Bacilli; Lactobacillales; Streptococcaceae.